GUACCAGUACCCGGGCUCAAGGAAAAAUAGCCAAGUCCCAGUGAGGUGCACUGAAGCUGUUAACAAAGCUGAUAACAAUGUUUACCGAAACUGCAGUGCCUGGACUCCAAAACAAGCUUGAGAGUGCCAGUAUACUGCAGAAAAGAGCAUCUCAGAAAUGAUGACAGGGUCCUGUGUUAAAGACCGUGAGAAAUAGCAUCUAGAGGUAUGUGCUGGCGGGAGUAUCUGCAGUAUGGUAACUAGAAGGUGCAAACUGCAACAUGUUUCCUGGUAGAUUCUGCAGGAACUGGCUUAAUGACCAACAGGCUAUGGGAAGAGAGGGGUUAACUACAAACACUGGAAAUCCUAGUGUUAUGGUAUAUGCUGGCAGGAGUAUCUGCAGUAUAGAAACUAGGAGGUGCAAACUGCAAAAU
Pelobates cultripes (western spadefoot toad) is the source of this 413-nucleotide non-coding RNA. The record is from the annotation of a GenBank genome assembly. NCBI's taxonomy places the organism in Eukaryota, Metazoa, Chordata, Amphibia, Anura, Pelobatidae.